This 252-nucleotide ribosomal RNA is filed under the name uncultured bacterium. RNAcentral's name for it is "partial 16S ribosomal RNA". It matches the Rfam family "Bacterial small subunit ribosomal RNA", at positions 524 to 776 of the family's 1533-position model. The record is from RNAcentral.
UACGUAGGUGGCAAGCGUUGUCCGGAUUUAUUGGGCGUAAAGCGAGCGCAGGUGGUUUAUUAAGUCUGGUGUAAAAGGCAGUGGCUCAACCAUUGUAUGCAUUGGAAACUGGUAGACUUGAGUGCAGGAGAGGAGAGUGGAAUUCCAUGUGUAGCGGUGAAAUGCGUAGAUAUAUGGAGGAACACCGGUGGCGAAAGCGGCUCUCUGGCCUGUAACUGACACUGAAGCUCGAAAGCGUGGGGAGCAAACAGG